AACGAACGCUGGCGGCAGGCUUAACACAUGCAAGUCGAACGCAUCCUUCGGGGUGAGUGGCAGACGGGUGAGUAACGCGUGGGAACGUGCCCUUCAGUUCGGGAUAACCCAGGGAAACUUGGGCUAAUACCGGAUACGUGCGAGAGCAGAAAUAUUUAUCGCUGAAGGAUCGGCCCGCGUCUGAUUAGCUAGUUGGUGGGGUAAUGGCCCGCCAAGGCGACGAUCAGUAGCUGGUCUGAGAGGAUGAUCAGCCACAUUGGGACUGGGACACGGCCCAAACUCCUACGGGAGGCAGCAGUGGGGAAUAUUUGACAAUGGGCGCAAGCCUGAUCCAGCCAUGCCGCGUGAGUGAUGAAGGCCUUAGGGUUGUAAAGCUCUUUCGUCCGGGACGAUAAUGACGGUACCGGAAGAAGAAGCCCCGGCUAACUUCGUGCCAGCCGCCGCCGUAA
RNAcentral lists this ribosomal RNA (449 nucleotides) under uncultured bacterium. Its description in RNAcentral is "partial 16S ribosomal RNA". It matches the Rfam family "Bacterial small subunit ribosomal RNA", at positions 29 to 523 of the family's 1533-position model. The record is from RNAcentral.